This 877-nucleotide ribosomal RNA is filed under the name Bacillus cereus. Its description in RNAcentral is "bacterial SSU rRNA". The stretch from base 3 to 521 matches the Rfam family "Bacterial small subunit ribosomal RNA", at positions 26 to 546 of the family's 1533-position model. The record is from RNAcentral. Lineage: Bacteria; Bacillati; Bacillota; Bacilli; Caryophanales; Bacillaceae.
CGAGGGGAGUCGCUGACGUAUAUACAUGCAGUCGAGCGAAUGGAUUAAGAGCUUGCUCUUAUGAAGUUAGCGGCGGACGGGUGAGUAACACGUGGGUAACCUGCCCAUAAGACUGGGAUAACUCCGGGAAACCGGGGCUAAUACCGGAUAACAUUUUGAACCGCAUGUUCGAAAUUGAAAGGCGGCUUCGGCUGUCACUUAUGGAUGGACCCGCGUCGCAUUAGCUAGUUGGUGAGGUAACGGCUCACCAAGGCAACGAUGCGUAGCGACCUGAGAGGGUGAUCGGCCACACUGGGACUGAGACACGGCCCAGACUCCUACGGGAGGCAGCAGUAGGGAAUCUUCCGCAAUGGCGAAAGCUGACGGAGCAACGCGCGUGAGUGAUGAAGGCUUUCGGGCGUAAAACUCUGUUGUAGGGAAGAACAGUGCUAGUUGAUAAGCUGGCACCUUGACGGUACCUAACCAGAAAGCCACGGUAACUACGUGCCAGCAGCCGCGUAUACGUAGUGGAAGCGUUAUCCGGAUUAUUGGCGAAAGGCGCCAGUGGUUCUUAAGCUGAUGGAAGCCACGCUCAACCGGGAGGGCUUGGAACUGGGAGAUUGAGUCAGAGAGAAAGGGAUUCAUGGAGCGUGAAUGGAGAGUAUGGGGACACAUGCGAGCGCUUCUGGCUGAAUGAAUGAGCCAAGGGGGGAAAGAUAGUACCUGUAGCACGCGAACGUGGGUAGGUAAGGUUCGCCUUAGGUGAGUACGAUAGAUCGCUGGGCGCCAGGAAUAAGAUGCGGGCCCAGGGACUUGUAUCAGACAAACUACGGUGACUAACUGAAGUUCUCGGAGGAUGGUGUCCCCUCGUUGUAGCCAGCACUGUAUCAUUGGAUAG